This 489-nucleotide ribosomal RNA is filed under the name uncultured bacterium. Its description in RNAcentral is "partial 16S ribosomal RNA". It matches the Rfam family "Bacterial small subunit ribosomal RNA", at positions 29 to 507 of the family's 1533-position model. The record is from RNAcentral.
AUGCACGCUAGCUACAGGCUUAACACAUGCAAGUCGCGGUGCAGCAUGGUCUUAGCUUGCUAAGGCCGAUGGCGACCGGCGCACGGGUGAGUAACACGUAUCCAACCUGCCGUCUACUCUUGGACAGCCUUCUGAAAGGAAGAUUAAUACAAGAUGGCAUCAUGAGUCCGCAUGUUCACAUGAUUAAAGGUAUUCCGGUAGACGAUGGGGAUGCGUUCCAUUAGAUAGUAGGCGGGGUAACGGCCCACCUAGUCUUCGAUGGAUAGGGGUUCUGAGAGGAAGGUCCCACACAUUGGAACUGAGACACGGUCCAAACUCCUACGGGAGGCAGCAGUGAGGAAUAUUGGUCAAUGGGCGAGAGCCUGAACCAGCCAAGUAGCGUGAAGGAGGACUGCCCUAUGGGUUGUAAACUUCUUUUAUAAAGGAAUAAAGUCGGGUAUGGAUACCCGUUUGCAUGUACUUUAUGAAUAAGGAUCGGCUAACUCCGUG